CUCUGUUACGCGAGACUGUCUAUGAAACCUAAGGAUGUCGGCGCUAUACCUCCUGCCCGUUGUCUUAAUGACGAUGUUGUUUCCUAUUACGUCGAGUCUAAAUGUUUGCGCCAAGCCGCCAGCAAUGUCGAAGAUGCUGAAGGUGCUGCGGCCGACGUCUAAAGUGCUGGUCGACUGCGCGGCUGACGUCAUCAUCACUUACAGGGCAAACGCUAGCCUCCUUGCAAAGAUAGUACAAAUGGUCUGCGAGUAUCACGACGAGUGCUACGCAGGAAUACUGGACAUA
This is a long non-coding RNA of Rhipicephalus microplus (southern cattle tick), 286 nucleotides long. The record is from RefSeq and is a predicted model, not a curated record. NCBI's taxonomy places the organism in Eukaryota, Metazoa, Arthropoda, Arachnida, Ixodida, Ixodidae.